This 424-nucleotide ribosomal RNA is filed under the name Verrucomicrobiota bacterium. RNAcentral's name for it is "Verrucomicrobia bacterium partial 16S ribosomal RNA". It matches the Rfam family "Bacterial small subunit ribosomal RNA", at positions 355 to 776 of the family's 1533-position model. The record is from RNAcentral. Lineage: Bacteria; Pseudomonadati; Verrucomicrobiota.
UGAGGAAUAUUGGUCAAUGGACGAGAGUCUGAACCAGCCAAGUAGCGUGCAGGAUGACGGCCCUAUGGGUUGUAAACUGCUUUUGUUUGGGAAUAAUCGACAUUACGUGUAAUGUUUUGCAUGUACCAUUCGAAUAAGGACCGGCUAAUUCCGUGCCAGCAGCCGCGGUAAUACGGAAGGUCCAGGCGUUAUCCGGAUUUAUUGGGUUUAAAGGGAGUGUAGGCGGUUGGUUAAGCGUGUUGUGAAAUGUAGAUGCUCAACAUCUGACUUGCAGCGCGAACUGGCUGACUUGAGUACACACAAGGUAGGCGGAAUGCAUGGUGUAGCGGUGAAAUGCUUAGAUAUCAUGAAGAACUCCGAUUGCGAAGGCAGCUUACGGGAGUGUUACUGACGCUUAAGCUCGAAGGUGCGGGUAUCGAACAGG